This 552-nucleotide ribosomal RNA is filed under the name uncultured bacterium. Its description in RNAcentral is "bacterial SSU rRNA". It matches the Rfam family "Bacterial small subunit ribosomal RNA", at positions 98 to 687 of the family's 1533-position model. The record is from RNAcentral.
GCAGACGGGUGAGUAACGCGUGGGAACAUACCUUUUGGUUCGGAACAACACAGGGAAACUUGUGCUAAUACCGGAUAAGCCCUUACGGGGAAAGAUUUAUCGCCGAAAGAUUGGCCCGCGUCUGAUUAGCUAGUUGGCGGGGUAACGGCCCACCAAGGCGAAGAUCGGUAGCCGGCCUGAGAGGGCACACGGCCACACUGGCACUGAAACACGGGCCAGACUCCUACGGGAGGCAGCAGUGGGGAAUCUUGCACAAUGGAGGCAACUCUGAUGCAGCGACGCCGCGUGAGCGAUGAAGCCCUUCGGGGUGUAAAGCUCUUUCGACGGGAACGAUAAUGACGGUACCCGAAGAAGAAGCUGCGGUAACUACGUGCCAGCAGCCGCGGUAAUACGUAGGCAGCGAGCGUUGUUCGGAAUUACUGGGCGUAAAGAGUGCGUAGGCGGUGCUCUAAGUCUGUUGUGAAAUCUCCCGGCUUAACUGGGAGGGUGCGGCGGAAACUAGAGUGCUAGAGUGUGGGAGAGGUAAGCGGAAUUCCUGGUGUACGGUGAAAU